AGUGAACGCUGGCGGUAGGCCUAACACAUGCAAGUCGAACGGCAGCACAGUAAGUGCUUGCUCUUACGGGUGGCGAGUGGCGGACGUGUGAGGAAUACAUCGUACUCUACUUUUUCGUGGGGGCUAACGUAGGUAAACUUACGCUAAUACCGCAUACGACCUACGGGUGAAAUCAGGGGAUCUUCGGACCUUGCGCGAAUGAAUGAGCCGAUGUCGGAUUAGCUAGUUGGCGGGGCAAAGGCCCACGCAGGCGACGAUCCGUAGCUGGUCUGAGAGGAUGAGCAGCCGGACUGGAAGGGAGAAACGGUACAGAGGCCUACGGGAGGCAGCAGUGGGGAAUAUUGGAGAAGGGGCGCAAGCCUGAGCAAGACAGACGGCGUGGGUGAAGAAGGCCUUCGGGUUGUAAAGGCCGUUUGUUGGGAAAGAAAAGCAGCAGGUUAAGACCGAGCUGUUAUGACGGUAACCAAAGAAUAAGCACCGGCUAACUUCGUG
RNAcentral lists this ribosomal RNA (492 nucleotides) under uncultured bacterium. RNAcentral's name for it is "partial 16S ribosomal RNA". It matches the Rfam family "Bacterial small subunit ribosomal RNA", at positions 29 to 507 of the family's 1533-position model. The record is from RNAcentral.